GGGCGUCUCGUUCUCAUAACGAGUGGAGACGCACCAGGAGCGCACACGCUGGUACCCGAAAGAUGGUGAACUAUGCCUGGCCAGGACGAAGCCAGGGGAAACCCUGGUGGAGGUCCGAAGCGAUUCUGACGUGCAAAUCGAUCGUCUGAGCUGGGUAUAGGGGCGAAAGACCAAUCGAACUAUCUAGUAGCUGGUUCCCUCUGAAGUUUCCCUCAGGAUAGCUGGCUCUCGGGAAGAGACGAGUCUCAUCCGGUAGAGCGAAUGAUUAGAGGUGAUGGGGUCGAAACGACUUCAACCUAUUCUCAAACUCCCAAUAGAUGAGAGCCCCGGCUUGCUUAAAAGUGAAGCCGCGGGACUCGGAUCAGAGAUGCCAAGUGGGCCAAUUUU
RNAcentral lists this ribosomal RNA (387 nucleotides) under Pentatomidae sp. SJ-2010. RNAcentral's name for it is "eukaryotic LSU rRNA". It matches the Rfam family "Eukaryotic large subunit ribosomal RNA", at positions 763 to 1138 of the family's 3401-position model. The record is from RNAcentral. Lineage: Eukaryota; Metazoa; Arthropoda; Insecta; Hemiptera; Pentatomidae.